Molecule: unclassified non-coding RNA, 465 nt
Filed under: Hevea brasiliensis (rubber tree)
Lineage: Eukaryota; Viridiplantae; Streptophyta; Magnoliopsida; Malpighiales; Euphorbiaceae
Source: RNAcentral
GUCGGAGGAGGAGGUUGCGAUGAUGCUGAGCGAAGUCGACGACGGCGGCGAUGGAUUUAUUCGGCUGGAGGAAUUGAUGGCUCGAGUUGGGACGGGAUUCGAGGCGGCGGGAGAGUCGGAGCUCCGGGAGACGUUUGAGUUUUUCGACGCCGAUCAGGACGGGAGGAUCACCGCGGAGGAGCUUCACGGGGUUUUCAGAUCAAUUGGAGACGAGCGGUGCACGUUAGAGGACUGCCGGCGUAUGAUAAGAGAUGUGGAUGAGAACGGGGAUGGGUUCGUGUGUUUCGCGGAGUUUGUGCGUAUGAUGGAGCUGCAGAGAUAAUUGAAUGUACGGCUCUUGAUGCUUUUGAUCGGACGGGUGUGAUGGAUUGGGAUAAGGGUUUUUUUUGUUUUGUUUUGGUUUGAGUGUGUGUGUGUGGUAUGUGUAAUAGAAUGAAUAGACAGAAUGAUAAUUGUGGUUUGGAC